RNAcentral lists this non-coding RNA (27 nucleotides) under Homo sapiens (human). The record is from RNAcentral. Lineage: Eukaryota; Metazoa; Chordata; Mammalia; Primates; Hominidae.
UGUGAACUGCUUGUGAAUGGGUGUGGG